Molecule: long non-coding RNA, 525 nt
Organism: Fundulus heteroclitus (mummichog)
Lineage: Eukaryota; Metazoa; Chordata; Actinopteri; Cyprinodontiformes; Fundulidae
Exons: 3
Source: RefSeq, a predicted model, not a curated record
GAAGACCAAGACUCCAGUCUGAUGGAGGACAGCAUGGAGGAGACGGCUGACAAGGUGAAGAAGUCGUCAUUAAUAAGAGGCUUCACCAGAACCGCAGCUUCGUCCCUCCUCCUCUUCAUCAGCUGCUGCUGCAGAUUUCUGCAGGAAACCAAGCAGCUUGUGGUCGGGUCUGCAUGUCCAGUUCCUAGGCUGGGCUUUUCCUGCUGGACCCGAUGGAUGGAAAGAGAUUAUGGACCCGACCUUGAACCUUGACCUUUGGCCUCAGACUUCCCUGACCUGAUGAGACCGUCAGAGAGCAGUUCUGAUUGGCUGUCAGUGAAGCUCUGUAAACAUAUUGACUUGAUCUACUUUAGUCCUCUUUCUAUUAAAUACUGACGUAUAUCUAUCUGCAGCCAGUUGAGUUUCAUCUUUUUCUGCCGGAUUUGAUCCACCAGACAAACUGUUUCUGUCUCCUGAUUUAUGGACUGAUAGAAAGAAGCUAUUUAGUGCCUGACAUCACAGCAUUGUGAAAUGACACAAUGUGUU